AAUCAAGGAGAUAUGCGCUGAAUACUGAACAGUGUCUGGGCUGCAAGAUAAAUUUUGACUUCUCUUUUGUUGCUACAAUUUGAACUUGAAAACAACUGUUUUGAAUCUUGGACUAUUAAUGAAAGUUUUAGGCCUAUGUCUUAGCUUUCGAUC
This is a non-coding RNA of Populus trichocarpa (black cottonwood), 153 nucleotides long. The record is from Rfam. NCBI's taxonomy places the organism in Eukaryota, Viridiplantae, Streptophyta, Magnoliopsida, Malpighiales, Salicaceae.